Aotus nancymaae (Ma's night monkey) is the source of this 116-nucleotide unclassified non-coding RNA. It matches the Rfam family "Y RNA". From Rfam's summary of the family: Y RNAs are components of the Ro ribonucleoprotein particle (Ro RNP), in association with Ro60 and La proteins. The Y RNAs and Ro60 and La proteins are well conserved, but the function of the Ro RNP is not known. In humans the RNA component can be one of four small RNAs -- hY1, hY3, hY4 and hY5. The record is from Ensembl. NCBI's taxonomy places the organism in Eukaryota, Metazoa, Chordata, Mammalia, Primates, Aotidae.
GGCUGGUUUAAAGGUAGUCAGUUAUGUCAACUGAUUGUUCACAGUGAAGUUAGAGAUUGAACUCCUUGUUCUACUCUUUGCCUCCUUCUCACUACCACACUUGACUGACUAGUUUU